RNAcentral lists this ribosomal RNA (253 nucleotides) under uncultured bacterium. Its description in RNAcentral is "partial 16S ribosomal RNA". It matches the Rfam family "Bacterial small subunit ribosomal RNA", at positions 524 to 776 of the family's 1533-position model. The record is from RNAcentral.
UACGGGGGGGGCAAGCGUUGUUCGGAAUUACUGGGCGUAAAGGGCUCGUAGGUGGCCAACUAAGUCGGACGUGAAAUCCCUCAGCUUAACUGGGGAACUGCGUCCGAUACUGGAUGGCUUGAGUUUGGGAGAGGGAUGCGGAAUUCCAGGUGUAGCGGUGAAAUGCGUAGAUAUCAAGAGGAACACCAGAGGCGAAGGCGGAUUGCUGGGCUGAUACUGACGCUGAGGCGCGAAAGCUAGGGGAGCAAACGGG